GAUGGCUACUGGGGGAGGGAGACUGUGCUGUGUUGCUCCUGCCCAGUAGGACUCCACAUCCAUGCGAAUUUGGGCAGCACUAAUUGGACUCAGGAGUGAUGUGCCUUUGGGAGACGUGCGCGAGAGGAAAACAGGCGUCAUCACUUACUGCGUGGAGCUAGCGCCCAUCGGUUAUCUAGGAGCUGGGGUCGGCCGAGAACGUGAUGCAGAUUUCAGCGACUUCAUGGGAGAUGAAAGCAGAAGUCACUGACCACGCGCCCGAGGACAAUGGAUGAAGCCACUGCAGCAUACUCUGGUUUCUCUUCAGAGCCUAUAAAUCUUUCACCUUUUACUAAAGAUUUCUGUGGAAAGAAACAGCUCUGAAUCAUAGCCCAAUUUUUUAAAAUAUUUAUUUAUGUAUAC
This is a long non-coding RNA of Arvicola amphibius (Eurasian water vole), 402 nucleotides long. RefSeq lists it as uncharacterized. Lineage: Eukaryota; Metazoa; Chordata; Mammalia; Rodentia; Cricetidae. The transcript is spliced from 3 exons. The record is from RefSeq and is a predicted model, not a curated record.